GAUGAAGAACGUAGCGAAAUGCGAUAAGUAGUGUGAAUUACAGAAUUCAGUGAAUCAUCGAAUCUUUGAACGCACAUUGCGCCCUUUGGUAUUCCAAAGGGCAUGCCUGUUCGAGCGUCAUUUGAACCCUCAAGCUUUGCUUGGUGUUGGGCGUCUUGUCUCUAGCUUUGCUGGAGACUCGCCUUAAAGUAAUUGGCAGCCGGCCUACUGGUUUCGGAGCGCAGCACAAGUCGCACUCUCUAUCAGCAAAGGUCUAGCAUCCAUUAAGCCUUUUUUUCAACUUUUGACCUCGGAUCAGGUAGGGAUACCCGCUGAACUUAAGCAUAUCAAUAAGCGGAGGA
RNAcentral lists this unclassified non-coding RNA (341 nucleotides) under soil metagenome. RNAcentral's name for it is "partial contains 5.8S ribosomal RNA, internal transcribed spacer 2, and large subunit ribosomal RNA". The stretch from base 1 to 120 matches the Rfam family "5.8S ribosomal RNA", at positions 35 to 154 of the family's 154-position model. The record is from RNAcentral.